This 175-nucleotide unclassified non-coding RNA is filed under the name uncultured Herpotrichiellaceae. RNAcentral's name for it is "sequence contains ITS2". Lineage: Eukaryota; Fungi; Ascomycota; Eurotiomycetes; Chaetothyriales; Herpotrichiellaceae. The record is from RNAcentral.
UCACCCCUCAAGCCCCCGGCUUGGAGUUGGACGGUUUGGUCUGGGCUUCCCCCCAGACCCCUCCUAAAGACAAUGACGGCGGGCUGUUGAACCCCCGGUACACUGAGCUUCUUCAUUGAGCACGUAUCGGUUUCAAGGGUCGACGGCACCCGGUCUUUUACCUAAAUUUUUCUAA